This 69-nucleotide transfer RNA is filed under the name Trimma striatum (stripehead goby). Its description in RNAcentral is "tRNA-Ser". Lineage: Eukaryota; Metazoa; Chordata; Actinopteri; Gobiiformes; Gobiidae. The record is from RNAcentral.
GAGAGAGGCCCGCUGACAAAAAAGGCCGCUACCCUUAAAUUUCUUCGGUUGGACUCCGAUGCUCCCUCG